CGCUGGCGGCGUGUUUAACACAUGCAAGUGGAGCGACGAACCGGGGCUUGCCCCGGGGCAGAGCCGCGAACGGGUGAGUAACACGUGGGUAACCUGCCUCAAUGAUUGGGACAACCCGGGGAAACUCGGGCUAAUACCAAAUGUGUUCACUCCUUCUAAGGGGAGUGAGGAAAGGAAGCUUCGGCCUCCGCAUUGAGAUGGGCCCGCGGCCCAUUAGCUUGUUGGUGAGGUAACGGCUCACCAAGGCUUCGAUGGGUAGCUGGUCUGAGAGGACGAUCAGCCACACUGGGACUGAGACACGGCCCAGACUCCUACGGGAGGCAGCAGUGGGGAAUCUUGCACAAUGCGCGAAAGCGUGAUGCAGCAACGCCGCGUGGGGGAAGACGGCCUCCGGGUUGUAAACCCCUUUCAGUUGGGACGAAGCUUCGUCGGUGAAUAGCCGGUUGGAGUGACGGUACCUUCAGAAGAAGCCCCGGCUAACUACGUG
RNAcentral lists this ribosomal RNA (487 nucleotides) under uncultured bacterium. Its description in RNAcentral is "bacterial SSU rRNA". It matches the Rfam family "Bacterial small subunit ribosomal RNA", at positions 34 to 507 of the family's 1533-position model. The record is from RNAcentral.